GACGAACGCUGGCGGCGUGCUUAACACAUGCAAGUCGAACGGAAAGGCCCUGCUUUUGUGGGGUGCUCGAGUGGCGAACGGGUGAGUAACACGUGAGUAACCUUCCCUUGACUUUGGGAUAACUUCAGGAAACUGGGGCUAAUACCGGUUAGGAGCUCCUGCUGCAUGGUGGGGGUUGGAAAGUUUCGGCGGUUGGGGAUGGACUCGCGGCUUAUCAGCUUGUUGGUGGGGUAGUGGCUUACCAAGGCUUUGCCGGGUCGCCGGCCUGAGAGGGUGACCGGCCACAUUGGGACUGAGAUACGGCCCAGACUCCUACGGGAGGCAGCAGUGGGGAAUAUUGCACAAUGGGCGGAAGCCUGAUGCAGCAACGCCGCGUGCGGGAUGACGGCCUUCGGGUUGUAAACCGCUUUCGCCUGUGACGAAGCGUGAGUGACGGUAAUGGGUAAAGAAGCACCGGCUAACUACGUG
RNAcentral lists this ribosomal RNA (468 nucleotides) under uncultured bacterium. RNAcentral describes it as "partial 16S ribosomal RNA". It matches the Rfam family "Bacterial small subunit ribosomal RNA", at positions 28 to 507 of the family's 1533-position model. The record is from RNAcentral.